CGUGAGUGAAGAAGGCUUUCGGGUCGUAAAGCUCUGUCAGGCGGGAAGAACCUUUAUGAGACUAAUAGUUUCAUGAACUGACGGUACCGCCAGAGGAAGCACCGGCUAACUCCGUGCCAGCAGCCGCGGUAAUACGGAGGGUGCCAGCGUUAUUCGGAUUCAUUGGGUGUAAAGCGCGUGUAGGCGGCUUGGCAAGUCAGAUGUGAAAGCUCAGGGCUCAACCCUGAAAGUGCAUUUGAAACUGCUUCGCUUGAGUCCCGGAGAGGAAGGUGGAAUUCCCAGUGUAGAGGUGAAAUUCGUAGAUAUUGGGAGGAACAUCGGUGGCGAAGGCGACCUUCUGGACGGAGACUGACGCUGAGACGCGAAAGCGUGGGGAGCAAACAGGAUUAGAUACCCUGGUAGUCCACGCCGUAAACGAUGGGUACUAGGUGUAGGGGGUAUUGACCCCCCCUGUGCCGUAGCUAACGCAUUAA
RNAcentral lists this ribosomal RNA (473 nucleotides) under uncultured delta proteobacterium. RNAcentral describes it as "bacterial SSU rRNA". It matches the Rfam family "Bacterial small subunit ribosomal RNA", at positions 400 to 863 of the family's 1533-position model. Lineage: Bacteria; Deltaproteobacteria. The record is from RNAcentral.